GGGGAUGAAAGGUAUCGAUGAGAAAUCGCACUUUUCUAAACGGCUAGGGCGUACCUAUGCGUUAAAUGGAAAAUCUUAAAUGCAGGUUCAAACCUUGCAGAAGAACUUGAGGCUUCCCGCUAUGCGGGGGCAUAUGCUUUUGCAUAAGCUCGCCUCUUGAUUCACUCUUUAUAGGGUUUCCUUGGAUCAAUCUAUAAAGGGAAAACCAAUCCAAGGUAGGAUUUUCUUAAAUUCCUGAUUACUAAGAAAGUCGACAUCUUAUUAAUCGGCAAUCCGGACUGUAGUUUGACUGUUUUCUUGUCCGGAUGCAAGCAAAAACAGACUAUCUCUAGCUAAACGUUUUCUACAAGUGUUUUCUUAGACGGGGGUUCGAUUCCCCCCAUCUCCACAC
RNAcentral lists this transfer-messenger RNA (391 nucleotides) under Patescibacteria group. RNAcentral's name for it is "2-01-FULL-40-42 sp001789965 Standard tmRNA". It matches the Rfam family "transfer-messenger RNA". Rfam says of the family: Bacterial tmRNA, also known as 10Sa RNA or SsrA, is named for its dual tRNA and mRNA-like properties. Its role is to liberate the mRNA from a stalled ribosome. The record is from RNAcentral. RNAcentral also lists the same sequence under 3 other names.